ACGUAUACCGUCCAGGUGGUCUCAACAACACAUUACUCUCUCAAGGCUGCGUCCUUGGGAAACUUCUAGCAUGGAGAAGGCAAGUGGAACACACAUUCCAAGGACAAGGGAGAGGCACUUUGAAAAUGUAAUCCUACCACCUCUGGCCUCCGUGAUUUAAGAAGUCAGCCAUUGGUCUUAUUGAGGAUCCCUUGCACAUGACUGGAUGAUCUCAAUUGACCUGUCUUCAAAUUUGCUGAUUCUUUCUUCUGCCAGCUCAAAUUGGCUAUCAGCCUCUUUAAUGACAAUAGCUAAAAAACAAACUAAAGAUUAACAAUCCAGGGGCCGGCCCCAUGGCCGGGUGGUUAAGUUCGUGCUCUCUGCUUCGGUGGCCCAGGGUUUCGCCGGUUUGGAUCCUGGGCACAGACCUGGCACUGCUCAUCAGGCCACGCUGAGGCGGCAUCCCACAUGCCACAACUAGAAGGAUGCACA
RNAcentral lists this long non-coding RNA (471 nucleotides) under Equus caballus (horse). RNAcentral describes it as "lncRNA (ENSECAG00000047600.1)". The record is from RNAcentral. Lineage: Eukaryota; Metazoa; Chordata; Mammalia; Perissodactyla; Equidae.